GACGAACGCUGGCGGCGUGCUUAACACAUGCAAGUCGAACGGGAUUUAGUAGACAGAAGCCUCGGCUAAAGAUUACUAAUGAGAGUGGUGAACGGGUGAGUAACGCGUGAGCAACCUGCCUAUGACAGUGGGAUAGCCUCGGGAAACCGGGAUUAAUACCGCAUAAAAUCGUAGAAACACAUGUUUUAACGGUCAAAGAUUUAUCGGUCAUAGAUGGGCUCGCGUCUGAUUAGCUAGUUGGUGAGAUAACAGCCCACCAAGGCGACGAUCAGUAGCCGGUCUGAGAGGAUGAACGGCCACAUUGGAACUGAGACACGGUCCAAACUCCUACGGGAGGCAGCAGUGGGGAAUAUUGCACAAUGGGGGAAACCCUGAUGCAGCGACGCCGCGUGAACGAAGAAGGUAUUCGUAUCGUAAAGUUCUGUCCUAUGGGAAGAUAAUGACAGUACCAUAGAAGAAAGCUCCGGCUAAAUACGUG
This 478-nucleotide ribosomal RNA is filed under the name uncultured bacterium. Its description in RNAcentral is "partial 16S ribosomal RNA". It matches the Rfam family "Bacterial small subunit ribosomal RNA", at positions 28 to 507 of the family's 1533-position model. The record is from RNAcentral.